UUAAACGGCCGCAGUAUUUUGACUGUGCGAAGGUAGCAUAAUAAUUAGUUUUUUAAUUAAAAGCUGGAAUGAAUGAUUGAACGAGGGAAUAACUGUCUCUAAUUAAAUAAUAUUAGAAAUUUAUUUUUAAGUUAAAAAGCUUAAAUAAAUUUAAAAGACGAGAAGACCCUAUAGAGUUUUAUAUAAUUUUUAUUAUUAAAAAUAUGGAAAAUUUAAUUUAAUAUUAAAAAUUAUAUUUUAUUGGGGUGAUGGAAAAAUUUAUUUAACUUUUUUUAAAAAUAAUACAUUAAUUUAUGAUUAAUUGAUCCAUAUAUAAUGAUUAUAAGAUUAAAUUACCUUAGGGAUAACAGCGUAAUUUUUUUUGAGAGUUCUUAUCGAAAAAGAAGUUUGCGACCUCGAUGUUGGAUUAAAAUUAAUUUUAGGUGUAGCUGCUUAAAUAUUAGGUCUGUUCGACCUUUAAAAUUUUACAUGAUCUGAGUUUAGACCGGCGUGAGCCAGGUUGGUUUCUAUCUUUAAAAAUUUAAAAUAUUUUAGUACGAAAGGACCAAGUAUUUAUAAAAUUUAUUAGAUUAUGAAUUUUAUUAAUUU
Molecule: ribosomal RNA, 588 nt
Filed under: Derops uenoi
Lineage: Eukaryota; Metazoa; Arthropoda; Insecta; Coleoptera; Staphylinidae
Description: partial 16S ribosomal RNA
Rfam family: Bacterial large subunit ribosomal RNA
Source: RNAcentral